ACACAGGCCUUUUUUAAGGCCACACUCUAGACCAGAUAGAUUUAA
Molecule: non-coding RNA, 45 nt
Organism: Sus scrofa (pig)
Lineage: Eukaryota; Metazoa; Chordata; Mammalia; Artiodactyla; Suidae
Source: Rfam